CAUACGUGAUAGGGGAUGAGUAGAAUAAUAUUCUAUGAUAGUUUAGUAGUUGGCAUUGUUGGCUUCUUCAUCUGUCAUGCCUUGUUGCUAUCUUAUGUUAGUGCUAAAGACAGACUUUCGCCUGGAGAAUACAUAUUACCCACUGAUGAAGUUUACUUGAGGUCUUCCUAUAAAAUCUUCGAGUUAAAACUCAUCAGGGGGCCGACGGGCACUAGCUCUACCACUAGCUGCUAUUUGUGUAUACAGUUCACGGAGUAUCCAAUCCUGGCAAGUUCCCAACAAAUGAUUGUUUGGGUGGCUUGGCUCGGCCAAGCUCAAAUUUCUUUGGUCCCAGGGCCGGAGUUAAAAAUGGAAAGAGACGGCCGGUUGGCGGUAUCUGCUGAUCAUCAUGAAUUCCCUGUAAACGAUGAUCAACAAUAUCCAUAUGUUAUGAACACAACCGCAACUCUACUUGAUACCGGCAAUUUAGUUUUGCGAACAGUAGAGGGUCAUACCCGUACGUCGUGGCAAAGUUUCGAUCAUCCCACUGCUAAUACUUGGCUCCCGGGCAUGAUUUUGGGUAGAUUUGGGGUGAAAACUCGAGGGGUUCAGCAGCGUUGUUUGACUUCUUGGACCAGUGAGGGGAACCCUUCUCCUGGUGAUUUUAGCUUAUGUGUUGAUCCAAACAACCCCAAGCAGCUAGUUGCCACACGAAAAGGGAUUGUUUAUUGGCACAGUGGGGUCUGGAGUGGCCGCAACAAUAAUUUCCCGUUUCUUCCUGUCCUUUCGCACCAUCUCAGAUAUUUCUCUAAUGACAAUGAAAGCUAUUUUGCUUGGGAUGGAAAUGUAGACCCGCAUUCGACCUUUAUCAGAACUUUUGCAACCGGUGAAAUUUCAGUAGCGGUCAAACAUGAUAGAAACUUAACAAGAGCAUCAAUUAACUGUGAUCAUAAUGGUACUUACUAUUCCAACGUGGGGUGCGUAAGAUCAUCCAAUUGUAGUGCUGGAGACAGGUUCCGUUCAACUACUGGUUUUAUCGGAUGGGAACUACAGUUACAUGAUAUCAUGCUUGGUGACUGCAAUGAAAUGUGUGUAAACAAUUGUUCUUGCAACGCCUAUGCUACACUUGAAUCUGAUGGAACAGGCUGCAAGUUUUCUACUUCCACUGCUUACCGUUACGUGUCUAAUGGGGGCGAAACUUUUUACAUUCGAGAUGCAAAAACAGCAAAGCAAAGCCAUCGUCCUCCACCUCGAUAUCCUGCUCUUGCUUUGACAAGGAGAAUGUCACACCACAGAAGAACAACAAUUGUAGUUGCUCUUACAGUAACGUUGCUUGUGACACUUUCUGUUGUUUUCCUAGUAUGGUAUAUGAAUCGAAGAAAAUGUUGCAGUUGCUUCCAAGCCCCAAUUGUACCGUCGACGCAACAACUUGCUAGUAAGGAUGACGACUUACCUUUCUUCAAUUUCAAAAGCAUAGAGAUCGCCACAAAUUACUUUUCUGAUGAGAAUAAGCUUGGUCAAUGAGGAUUUGGCCCUGUAUAUAAGGGGAUAUUAGCCAAUGGUCAAGAAAUUGCAGCAAAGCGGCUCUCAAAAAUUUCUGGGAACGGAAUUGAACAAUUCAAGAAUGAAGUUUUAUUAAUCUCAAAAUUGCAGCACAGGAAUCUGGUUAGGCUUUUUGGUUGUUGCACUCAAGGAGAAGAGAUGAUAUUAAUAUACGAGUACCUUACAAAUAAAAGUUUGGAUUCAAUUCUUUUUGAUGCAAGAAAAAAAGCUUGUCUUGAUUGGGGAAAGCGUGUCUCCAUAAUUGAUGGGAUUACACAAGGGCUUUUGUAACUUCACAAAUAUUCAAGACUGAAGAUUAUACAUAGAGAUUUGAAAACAAGUAACAUAUUAUUAGAUGUUCACAUGCAUCCCAAGAUUUCUGAUUUUGGAACGGCAAGACUAUAGGAAGAUAGUGAUUCACCAGCAAACACAAAAAGCAUUAUUGGCACUUAUGGUUACAUGUCUCCGGAAUAUGCAAUGGAUGGUUGCUUCUCUGAGAAAUCAGAUAAUUUUAGUUUUGGAGUGAUGAUAAUAGAGAUUGUAAGUGGAAAGAGAAACAAUGGCUUCUACAAUCCUGAUCGUGUUUCAAAUUUACUUGGUUAUGCUUGGGAUUUAUGGAUAGAAGGAAGACUCUCAAACUUAAUAGAUUCAACAAUGGAAAAAACAAUAUCAAUUAUUGAAGCAACAAGAUAUAUUCAAGUAGGUUUGCUAUGUGUUCAAGAUAGUGCGAUGGAUAGACCAACUAUCUCAGAUGUGGUAUCCAUGCUUGGUAAUGAAUUAUGAGUCUUACCUACUCCUAAACAACCUGGUUUCUCUGCCAUUAUUGGCUUAAAAUGUGAGGAUGUUGUUAAUAAUUUAAAAGAUUGCUCUGCUAAUGAUGUCACAAUUACAGAUAUUGAAGGUCGAUAGCACAUAUCAUUCUCUCAUUGUUAAAAGACUUUUUGGGUAACUUUCGUUGAACAAUAAUUGUUGUAAAACUUCACCAAAGAUUGUAAAGCUAUCCUUACCCUUGAAAGUGAGACCUUGGCAAAAUGAUGUGGCUACACAAGUGGACUUUUUUGUUUUGCUUUGUUUUGUUAUUGCUUAGGUGUAAUGCAAGCUUGAUAAUCUUGGAAGCUUGCAAAUUUUAAAAAAAAAAAAAAAAACGGUUGUCGUAGGGCAGCAUGCGACAACAUUUAUGUACUUUUAUUUUAUUAUUAUUUUGUUAUUUUAUUGUAUUGUGAUGUGAUAGUGGGAUUACUUUUGAAAGUGGGAGAAUAUUGCAUGGAUGUAAAGAAAUAGUGAAAGAAUUGUAAAUUUGAUGAUGUGGAGGUAAAACUCACUUUUGUAAGUGAAAGAGUAUUUCAGGGAUAAAAGAUAGACUAAUAAGUGAAA
Molecule: RNA transcript, 2895 nt
Organism: Ipomoea triloba (trilobed morning glory)
Lineage: Eukaryota; Viridiplantae; Streptophyta; Magnoliopsida; Solanales; Convolvulaceae
Gene name: G-type lectin S-receptor-like serine/threonine-protein kinase At1g67520
Exons: 8
Source: RefSeq, a predicted model, not a curated record